GAAUGUGAAGCUCUGCGGUGGAGCGCCCGGUUCAGGUCCGGGAGGUCGGCGGUUCGAAUCCGCUCACGUUCA
This 72-nucleotide transfer RNA is filed under the name Rhodoblastus sp. It matches the Rfam family "tRNA". Rfam says of the family: Transfer RNA (tRNA) molecules are approximately 80 nucleotides in length. Lineage: Bacteria; Pseudomonadati; Pseudomonadota; Alphaproteobacteria; Hyphomicrobiales; Rhodoblastaceae. The record is from Rfam by way of RNAcentral.